UCGGUUGACGGGAACGUUGCCAGCAUCCCUUGCUGAAUUGAGCAAUUUAAAAGAUUUCAGGAUAAUUGACAACAAUCUUAGUGGGUCCAUACCUAAUUUCAUAGAGAAUUGGAGACAACUCAAUAAACUAGAACUAAUUGGGAUGGGGCUUUCGGGACUGAUUCCUUCAUCCAUUUCUUUCUGAACUUAACUGACGUGAGAAUUUGUGAACUAAGUGGACCAACUCAGAGAUUCCCUCCGUUAGAUAAUGCUGUUGGUUUACUAACACUGUAUGUAGAAGGUUUUGUAUUUCAAAUUGUCGUUGUAAUCUAAUAUAUUUGUUUGUAUUUUAACGUGUAUAAAAUCAUAAUAUUUACGUCAAUGCUGAUAAUGAAG
Long non-coding RNA from Helianthus annuus (common sunflower), 375 nucleotides. RefSeq lists it as uncharacterized. The transcript is spliced from 4 exons. Lineage: Eukaryota; Viridiplantae; Streptophyta; Magnoliopsida; Asterales; Asteraceae. The record is from RefSeq and is a predicted model, not a curated record.